CCUACGGGAGGCAGCAGUGGGGAAUAUUGGGCAAUGGGCGCAAGCCUGACCCAGCAACGCCGCGUGAAGGAAGAAGGCUCUCGGGUUGUAAACUUCUUUUAUCAGGGACGAAGCAAGUGACGGUACCUGUUUAGUAAGCUUCGGCUAACUACGUGCCAGCAGCCGCGGUAAUACGUAGGGAGCAAGCGUUGUCCGGAAUUACUGGGCGUAAAGGGCGCGUAGGUGGGCGCUUAAGUCAGGUGUGAAAACUCCGGGCUCAACCUGGAGACUGGAGUUGAAACUGGGUGUCUUGAGGGCAGGAGAGGAAAGUGGAAUUCGUAGUGUAGCGGUGAAAUGCGUAGAUAUUAGGAGGAACACCGGUGGCGAAGGCAACUUUCUGAACUAUACCUGACACUGAGGCGCGAAAGCGUGGGUAGCGAACGGGAUUAGAUACCCGUGUAGUC
RNAcentral lists this ribosomal RNA (443 nucleotides) under uncultured bacterium. RNAcentral's name for it is "partial 16S ribosomal RNA". It matches the Rfam family "Bacterial small subunit ribosomal RNA", at positions 338 to 795 of the family's 1533-position model. The record is from RNAcentral.